RNAcentral lists this ribosomal RNA (254 nucleotides) under uncultured bacterium. Its description in RNAcentral is "partial 16S ribosomal RNA". It matches the Rfam family "Bacterial small subunit ribosomal RNA", at positions 524 to 776 of the family's 1533-position model. The record is from RNAcentral.
UACGUAGGGGGCAAGCGUUAUCCAGAUUUACUGGGCGUAAAGCGCGUGUAGGCGGCUGGGUAGGUGUGAUGUGAAAUCUUCCGGCUCAACCGGAAAACUGCAUUGCAAACCGGCCUGGCUAGAGUGCAGGAGAGGGAAGCGGAAUUCCAGGUGUAGCGGUGAAAUGCGUAGAUAUCAGGAGGAACACCGGUGGCGAAGGCGGGUCUCUGGGCCGAUACUGACGCUGAGGAGCGAAAGCGUGGGGAGCGAACAGG